AUGGGGUGCUGGCCGGGUGGAGAAAGAGAUAAGAUCGGCCAAAAUUUGGAGUUUCUGCGUGUCUCGCGCGCAACUUGUCCCGCCUGGCUCGAAAUAAGUGGGCCAGGUCCAAACUUACGCCGACACUUUUUCCAUCGCAAAAAAACAACGACAGAUAAUCUAACAGCAAAGAAACUUAUACCGACACAUAGUAUGUCCACGAACCGACUAGCAUUGUCGAUGGAUACACCGAAAAUCUAG
Molecule: ribosomal RNA, 240 nt
Filed under: Triticum aestivum (bread wheat)
Lineage: Eukaryota; Viridiplantae; Streptophyta; Magnoliopsida; Poales; Poaceae
Description: partial small subunit ribosomal RNA
Source: RNAcentral